Molecule: transfer RNA, 70 nt
Filed under: Ctenochaetus striatus (striated surgeonfish)
Lineage: Eukaryota; Metazoa; Chordata; Actinopteri; Acanthuriformes; Acanthuridae
Description: tRNA-Ile
Rfam family: tRNA
About the family: Transfer RNA (tRNA) molecules are approximately 80 nucleotides in length. Their secondary structure includes four short double-helical elements and three loops (D, anti-codon, and T loops). Further hydrogen bonds mediate the characteristic L-shaped molecular structure. tRNAs have two regions of fundamental functional importance: the anti-codon, which is responsible for specific mRNA codon recognition, and the 3' end, to which the tRNAs corresponding amino acid is attached (by aminoacyl-tRNA synthetases). tRNAs cope with the degeneracy of the genetic code in two manners: having more than one tRNA (with a specific anti-codon) for a particular amino acid; and 'wobble' base-pairing, i.e. permitting non-standard base-pairing at the 3rd anti-codon position.
Source: RNAcentral
GGAGUUGUGCCUGAAGCAAAGGGCCACUUUGAUAGAGUGAAACAUGAAGGUUAAAAUCCUUCCAACUCCU